Xyrichtys novacula (pearly razorfish) is the source of this 617-nucleotide non-coding RNA. The record is from the annotation of a GenBank genome assembly. NCBI's taxonomy places the organism in Eukaryota, Metazoa, Chordata, Actinopteri, Labriformes, Labridae.
GUUUUGUGUUUGUGUUUUUAUUUAUAUUUCUCUUUGAAUGACCAUAUGUCAAAAAAAAAGACGAGAUCUGGUGUGAACAUGAAGACAAGAGAUCAUGUGGAUGUGAAGCUUCCCAAAAGUGCACUCAUGUUUAUCCGGCAAGUGUGCGAUAUAUUAUUCAUGCAAAAGUGAGCUGCACACACACAGCUGAUAUUUGAUUUGCAUUUCAUUCCACUCGUAUUUUGUUGGGAGACACAAUAUCAAUGCAGAGUAACAUAAUAAAGAGUGUUUAUUAAUCUCCCUGCAGACUCCUUUGUUUUGCAUGAACACCUGCCAGCAGCCCCUCCCUCUAUAGGCGCACAGAGGAGAGACCCGGACAGACAUGAGAGCAGAUGAUUCAGCGUCAGACUUCAUCAUAUGGAAAUAAAAACACGUGGGAGCUGCAGGAUGGAGGCUGUUUGAGUCAGGGAGAGUGGGGUAAGUUGAGCCAAAGGGUAAGUUUGCUUGGAAAUGGUAAAAUAAAUUGAUCAUGUGACCAAAUAUUUAAGCGAUGAGCAUCAAUUCUUGGUGGCACAGUGGUGUAGUGGUUAGCACUGUCCUCACAGCUAGAAGGUCCUGGGUUUGAAUCCUGGUCAGGG